GAUGAAGAACGCAGCGAAAUGCGAUAAGUAAUGUGAAUUGCAGAAUUCAGUGAAUCAUCGAGUCUUUGAACGCACCUUGCGCCCUUUGGACUUCUGAAGGGCAUGCCUGUUUGAGUAUCAUGAACACCUCAACUCCUUAUGGUCUUCCAUGAUGAGCUUGGACUUUGGGGGUUUUGCUGGCCUACAGUCAGCUCCUCUAAAAUAAAUCAGCUUACCGGUGUUUGGUGGGUAUCAUGGGUGUGAUAACUAUCUACGCUCGUGGUUUUCCACCAGGUAACCUUCAGCAGUGGAGGUUCACUGGAGCUCAUAGAUGUCUCUCCUCAGCGAGGACAGCCCUUUGAAUGUUUGAUCUCAAAUCAGGUAGGACUACCCGCUGAACUUAAGCAUAUCAAUAAGCGGAGGA
This 403-nucleotide unclassified non-coding RNA is filed under the name soil metagenome. Its description in RNAcentral is "partial contains 5.8S ribosomal RNA, internal transcribed spacer 2, and large subunit ribosomal RNA". The stretch from base 1 to 120 matches the Rfam family "5.8S ribosomal RNA", at positions 35 to 154 of the family's 154-position model. The record is from RNAcentral.